UGCUCGGGUAACCUAGUGGUUAGAGUGUCCACCUCAGAUGCGAGAGGUGGUGGGUUCGAUCCCCGGCCGAGUCAA
Non-coding RNA from Potamilus streckersoni, 75 nucleotides. The record is from the annotation of a GenBank genome assembly. NCBI's taxonomy places the organism in Eukaryota, Metazoa, Mollusca, Bivalvia, Unionida, Unionidae.